Myodes glareolus (Bank vole) is the source of this 142-nucleotide non-coding RNA. The record is from RefSeq and is a predicted model, not a curated record. Lineage: Eukaryota; Metazoa; Chordata; Mammalia; Rodentia; Cricetidae.
GACCUUCGUUCCACUGGGCUGUGGGGAUCUCUUUCCUCCUCAGCCAGGGCUUGGGGCCAAGAUCAGCCCUUGAGGUCCGUCCGUGGGUCACCAGCAUAAGGACUGGCAUGAGUGGGCAGCCAUUUUCCCACCCCAGACAAUC